AUCUUCCACAAUGGGCGAAAGCCUGAUGGAGCAACGCCGCGUGAGUGAAGAAGGAUUUCGGUUCGUAAAACUCUGUUGCAAGGGAAGAACAAGUACAGUAGUAACUGGCUGUACCUUGACGGUACCUUAUUAGAAAGCCACGGCUAACUACGUGCCAGCAGCCGCGGUAAUACGUAGGUGGCAAGCGUUGUCCGGAAUUAUUGGGCGUAAAGCGCGCGCAGGUGGUUUCUUAAGUCUGAUGUGAAAGCCCACGGCUCAACCGUGGAGGGUCAUUGGAAACUGGGAGACUUGAGUGCAGAAGAGGAUAGUGGAAUUCCAAGUGUAGCGGUGAAAUGCGUAGAGACUUGGAGGAACACCAGUGGCGAAGGCGACUAUCUGGUCUGUAACUGACACUGAGGCGCGAAAGCGUGGGGAGCAAACAGG
Molecule: ribosomal RNA, 423 nt
Filed under: uncultured bacterium
Lineage: Bacteria
Description: bacterial SSU rRNA
Rfam family: Bacterial small subunit ribosomal RNA
Source: RNAcentral